GCGUGGACCCGAAAGCUUGGCGAGUAAACAAUUGGGAAAUAGUAAAAUCUGCCAGGUUCUCUGGCAUGAGAACGAACUCCCGGGCAAAUGAAUGUGAGGGUCACGUCCUACGAGCUCAUCUCCUCACUUACUUCCUCGACCCCUCAGCAUCCUCUGAGACCACCUCCACCGGGCAGCUUGGGCAUGGAUGUACCUUGACCGCAGGGCCAGUCAACUAAAAUGAGGCGAGGGCACGUCAUUCAGUUAGAUAAUCCCAGCAAGACAUUGGAGGCUGAGGCAAGAAGAUUGAUGCUAGUAAAGUUGCCAGAAAUUCAAGGACAAGGUUUCUAGGUUCAGCAGUCCUGACUGUCCUGGAACUCACUUUGUAGACCAAGCUGGUCUUGAACUCAAAAAGAUGUACCUGCCUCUGCUUCCCAAGUGCCCGAAUUAAAGAAGUGCUCCACCACCGUCCAGCUUAGAAUGAUUAUUUUCUUUCUGGACUUUUGUAAGGAUAGGAAAGAUGGCAGAGGAUAUUGGGAGAAAGCCCAGCAUUGCAAGUAAGAAUCAUUAUGAAAAGCUUUCUCGUGUGCUCGUUCCUAAGACAUAACCGGAUAUCUAGUUAAUAUUGAAUGUGUAACAUAACUGGCAAUUUAUUGUUGGCAAUAAAGUGCUUC
Molecule: long non-coding RNA, 653 nt
Filed under: Mus pahari (shrew mouse)
Lineage: Eukaryota; Metazoa; Chordata; Mammalia; Rodentia; Muridae
Description: lncRNA (MGP_PahariEiJ_G0003530.1)
Source: RNAcentral